RNAcentral lists this ribosomal RNA (434 nucleotides) under uncultured Lachnospiraceae bacterium. RNAcentral's name for it is "partial 16S ribosomal RNA". It matches the Rfam family "Bacterial small subunit ribosomal RNA", at positions 341 to 792 of the family's 1533-position model. Lineage: Bacteria; Bacillati; Bacillota; Clostridia; Lachnospirales; Lachnospiraceae. The record is from RNAcentral.
ACGGGAGGCAGCAGUGGGGAAUAUUGCACAAUGGGCGAAAGCCUGAUGCAGCGACGCCGCGUGAGUGAAGAAGUAUCUCGGUAUGUAAAGCUCUAUCAGCAGGGAAGAAAAUGACGGUACCUGACUAAGAAGCACCGGCUAAAUACGUGCCAGCAGCCGCGGUAAUACGUAUGGUGCAAGCGUUAUCCGGAUUUACUGGGUGUAAAGGGAGCGUAGACGGCAUAGCAAGCCAGAUGUGAAAUGCGGGGGCUCAACCCCUGAACUGCAUUUGGAACUGUUAAGCUAGAGUAUCGGAGAGGUAAGUGGAAUUCCUAGUGUAGCGGUGAAAUGCGUAGAUAUUAGGAGGAACACCAGUGGCGAAGGCGGCUUACUGGACGAUAACUGACGUUGAGGCUCGAAAGCGUGGGGAGCAAACAGGAUUAGAUACCCUGGUA